Molecule: ribosomal RNA, 332 nt
Filed under: uncultured bacterium
Lineage: Bacteria
Description: bacterial SSU rRNA
Rfam family: Bacterial small subunit ribosomal RNA
Source: RNAcentral
AGAGUAGGCGGGAAAAUAAGUUAGAAGUUUAAUAUAUAGGCUUAACCUAUAAGCUGCUUCUAAUACUGUUUUUCUUGAGUAUUGGAGAGGGAGAUGGAAUUCCAGGUGUAGCGGUGGAAUGCGUAGAUAUCUGGAAGAACACCAGUUGCGAAGGCGGUCUCCUGGCCAAAUACUGACGCUGAUGCUCGAAAGCUAGGGGAGCAAACAGGAUUAGAUACCCUGGUAGUCCUAGCCGUAAACGAUGGACACUAGAUGCUGGAGGAGUCAAUCCUUUCGGUGUCGUAGCUAACGUGUUAAGUGUCCCGCCUGGGGAGUACGCUCGCAAGGGUGAA